UUGAACGCUGGCGGCAGGCCUAACACAUGCAAGUCGAGCGGAUGAAGGGAGCUUGCUCCUGGAUUCAGCGGCGGACGGGUGAGUAAUGCCUAGGAAUCUGCCUGGUAGUGGGGGAUAACGUCCGGAAACGGGCGCUAAUACCGCAUACGUCCUGAGGGAGGAAGUGGGGGAUCUUCGGACCUCACGCUAUCAGAUGAGCCUAGGUCGGAUUAGCUAGUUGGUGGGGUAAAGGCCUACCAAGGCGACGAUCCGUAACUG
RNAcentral lists this ribosomal RNA (258 nucleotides) under uncultured bacterium. RNAcentral describes it as "partial 16S ribosomal RNA". It matches the Rfam family "Bacterial small subunit ribosomal RNA", at positions 30 to 289 of the family's 1533-position model. The record is from RNAcentral.